Molecule: unclassified non-coding RNA, 232 nt
Filed under: Hevea brasiliensis (rubber tree)
Lineage: Eukaryota; Viridiplantae; Streptophyta; Magnoliopsida; Malpighiales; Euphorbiaceae
Source: RNAcentral
GUGCAAUUUUUUUUUUUUUGUUCUCUUAUCAUUUUCCUUUUUCUCACCACAAAACAGCCCAAGAGGGUACAUUUCCAUGAGCUGCAUGAACGUAAGAUUCCCACUACUCNUUGUCAGCCGAAGAAGAAACAAACUCUCUGCCAUUAAUUUGGUCUUCUAAUUAAAAAUUCCAAACCAAGAAUAUAUCUAUGAACAUAAAUAUUUACACAACUAAUAAAUUAUAACAAAACCA